UUCUGGGAGAAGUAAAGGAAAACAAUGCUGGCUGGCAUUCAGACAUUAAACUCAAUGUGGAGGUUGUGUCAUUUAAACUAGACACGGGCAGCAGUGACAGCUAUCCCAACUAGGCUGUAUAGCUAUAGCUGGCCCUUUGCUCUCUACAAACAAAUAACUGUAAGGGCCCAGUAAUAAGAUUUUACCAGUGGUAGGACACUUGGUGAUUAAACUGGAGAGUAAAGACAAAAGUGCCAUCCAGCCUGUCUUUGUCAUUGACUCUCUAGCCAGACCGUUGCUGGGGCUGCCAGCAAUUGAAGCAUUGCAACUCAUUGAGAGUGUGAGUGAAUUAGAGGACCCAGGUGAGGUUUUUAAAAAGAAAUUCCCAAAAGUGUUUUCUGGUCUAGGAAGGAUAGAAGGUGACUACAAAAUCCGCCUGAAAGAGGAUUCUGUCCCCUAUGCCCUUACCACCCCCCGCCGGGUGCCUAUCCCUUUAUUGGCCAGAGUAAAGGAAGAGUUGGGGAGGAUGGAAGAAAUUGGGGCGGUGUCUAAAAUAGAGAGUCCCACAGACUGGUGUGCAGGGAUGGUAGUGGUCCCAAAAGCCAAUGGGGAAAUAAGGAUCUGUGUGGACAUGACUAAAUUGAAUGAGGCACUCUGCAGAGAGAGACAUCUUACCAUCAGUGGAGCAGUCACUGGCUCAGUUGGAUGGCUCACAAGUCUUCACAAAGCUGGAUGCCCGCUCAGGUUUCUGGCAGAUACCGCUGUCAUCAGAGAGCAGGGCACUCACAACAUUUAUAACACCGUUUGGCCAUUACUGUUUUAAUGUUUUGCCAUUUGGAAUCGCUUCCGGCCCUGAGCAUUUCCAAAGACGCAUGUCCCAGCUGUUGGAUGGGCUGAGUGGCUUCAUAGUCCACGCGGAAGGGACAGAGCAGAACAUGAUGUAAGGCUCACAGCAGUUCUGAACCAACUCCAGGAGACUGGCCUGACACUCAAUGAAAAAUAAACUUUUGCACAAUCAGAGGUCUUGUUCUUGGGACACAAAAUCAGUGCAGCUGGAAUAGAGCCGGACCCAGAGAAGAUCAGCGCCAUCACAGAUAUGCCCAGACCCCAGAAUGUGGCUGAAGUCAGGACCUUCUUAGGCAUGGCCACAUAUGUGGGUAAGUUCCUCCCACAGUUCUCAGGUACAACCAAACCUCUGAGAGACUUACUAGCCAAAGAGAAUGACUGGUUAUGGAGUCACAUGCAACAGGUAGCGUUUGACAAAAUCAAAGGAGAUCUGGCCUCACAGAGAGUGCUGGCCCAGUACCGUCCCCACGCUAAGACAAAUGUAUCAGCAGAUGCAUCAUCCUUUGGGCUAGGGGCGGUCCUCACACAGAUGCAGGACAACAUGGAGUGGCGUCCAAUAGCUUACAUCUCCCGAAGCUUAUCCGACACAGAGCAAAGAUAUGCUCAAGUGGAGAAGGAGGCGUUGGCUAUCACAUGGGCAUGUGAAAGGCUCAGCCAAUACCUUAUUGGCCUGCAGUUUACAGCAGAGACUGACCAUAAACCGCUGUUGGCUCUGUUAGGGACAAAAGCACUGGACGACUUGCCUCCCAGAGUUCUGCGCUUCCGCCUCAGAUUGCUUAGAUUACAAAAUUGUGUAUGUGCAAGGGAAGGCACUGAUCACAGCAGAUGAACUCUCCAGGGCCCCAAUUAAACGUCCAUUAUCAGAGGAGGAGCAAUGGCUAGAGGGUGAGGUACAGGUGUCCAUUAAUGCAAUAAGGGACAGUCUACCUGCAUCUCAGACCAAACUGCAGCAGAUUGCAGAGGAGCAACAACGACACCAUAUCUGCCAACAGAUAGUGCAAAAAGGGAUGGCCCAGGCAGGAGGAACUGCCUCAGCUGCUGAAGCCCCAUUGGGUGCACCAAAGUGACUUCCACUCUAAUGGAGACCUUCUCAUGAAAGGACAACGGAUAGUUAUCCCAGAGACUCUACAACAAGAAAUGCUAGACAGAGUGCAUGAUGGACACAUGGGGAUAACCAAAUGCAGACUGAGGGCUCAACAGUCAGUGUGGUGGCUUGGUCUGAGUACUCAGAUUGCCAAGCUAGUGGCCCAGUGUGAGGCCUGUACAAAAUGUCAACCUUGUCAUCCGGAGCCAAUGAUGGCAACGGAGCUGCCAAAACGGCCAUUGCAAAAGGCAAGGGGUCGCUGAGGUCCUGGUUACAGAUAACGCUCUCCAGUUCUCUGUGAGCUCCUUUUCUGCUUUUGCCGCAGAAUAUGACUUCAUACAUGUGACCAGUAGCCCCUACCAUGCACAGAGUAAUGGUGAGGCAGAGAGAGCUGUGAAAACAGUCAAGGGACUGCUGAAAAAGAACAAGGAUCCAUACAGGGCUCUGUUAGCUUACAGAGUUACACCACUGUAUCAUGGGCCGUUGCCUGCCGAGCUCCUGAUGGGCAGGAGGCUGCGUUCCCCAUUGCCUGUCUCGUCGGCUCAGCUUAAACACCGAGGGCCUAACAGGAAGGCCUUCGCUGAGAGGGACAAACGGCUGAAACAAACGCAAACUGGAGACUUUAAUCGGAGACACCGUGCUAAGGAGAGGCCAGAGUUGACCAAAGGUCAACGUGUGCGGAUUACAAACUCAAAGACACCAACAAUAGUGCUGAGGAAAGCGGAUGCCCCAUGCUUCUAUGUGGUGGACAUAGGCUCAGAAGAGGUACGAAGGAACAAAACACACCUCAGAGCUCUUCCAGAUCUACCAGCCACACAGACUGAGGCCACGAAAAGAGGGUGAAGGAGAGAGAAUGCUCACAGAGCCACAAGCGCACCCAAAAAGGAAGACUAUGCUACGUGAAGAGAAAACAUACUGUUGGACACCAUACCCAGCAAAAAAGAGACUACCUAAGUUAAUGUUCAUACUGUGUGAUUUAAUGCUUUCAUACUGUUUCAGGAUGGGAAGUAGCAUGUUAGAGAAUUAUACUGGUUUCCAAAUUACAUUCCAGUUAUGCUUCAGUGGUUAUGCAUGUUGAGUUCUUGUUCAUGGGAGAGGGGAAGAUGUAGUAGGAUGUCCCUUGGGGGUAUCCGUACCUAUGCAGGACAUGCGAGGGUUAGGUUAAUAAACAGGCAGGAGCUAGAACCUGGUUGUCGCGCGUCCUUAUUUUAGAUCAUACUACAGCUCUAUUGUGAAUGUAGUAUAGGCUACCCAUAUUCAGUCUGGUUGACACGCGACCCACAUGACUACACAGCAAGCAUAGACAGGCCUACAUGAGUAAUGCCGCGAUCACAGCGACAGUGCUUUGCAUUUUGGUACACUAGAAGUACGUUUAUUUCUAAUGGAAUGCUGUGUUUGCCUUGCAACGUUGCAUUGGAGAGGCAGUUUCAGUGCCUUCUGUGUGAUGCAUUGUGACGGCCCUCCCACUCUGUCUGCCGUAUUCUGUCUUUGUUCUUGAUGCCGGUGGGCGGAGUUGGGAGGGUCGUCAGCUACAUGGGAAACACCUGGGCCCGGUGUGUCCCAGGAUAAAUACACCACUUCCCCAUUCAUGGAAGAGACUCUCUCCUUUAUAGAUUGUGUUGUGUUUCUUGGUGUUUUUUUGGUUGUUUGCUUUAGCAUCUUUCAACACCCUGCAUUAUCACAUUCAUGCAUGCAAAACACUCACUUACACUACUGAUUACUGAUUAGACACACCAUUGUGUAUUAUACUUAGUUAUUAUUUAAUAAAUAUAUAUUUUGUUACUCCUUA
Molecule: long non-coding RNA, 3698 nt
Organism: Oncorhynchus tshawytscha (Chinook salmon)
Lineage: Eukaryota; Metazoa; Chordata; Actinopteri; Salmoniformes; Salmonidae
Exons: 2
Source: RefSeq, a predicted model, not a curated record